UAGCUAUUCUGGCUCUCUUUUUCCCAUUUUCCAAAUUUUGCCCUCCUUUAUCUUCUUUUUCAUCUGCCGUCAAACUCUCUACACAAUUUCUGCCCUCAAACCUCUUGCCAUAUUUCAGAUAUUCUCCUUCAUCUUCUCCGACAAAUCUGUAACUUUCUCUCCUUCUGUUCCCAUAUUUCAGUUAGCAGAUGGUUAUGAUCUGUGCUGAUGGAUGCUCUAUGAUUGAUCGAAGAAUGGGCAUUUAUGGAGUCAGAGUUACCAACUUUUAAAGAGAAAAACCCUCAGCUGGAGGUGGUUACUGAACUCAUUCGUGGGCAGCAUCCACAUUUGAAAGGCUUUUACAAUAAGAGACUCUUUCUUGGAUGAGUUUCAGACAUGAUGCAUUCACGUAUGCGAUGUUUUUAACCAUGUCUCAAAACAUGUAUCUUGCCAAUUUCUCAGAGAACAAAAACGAGCGGGUGGUAUGCGUGAAGAAUAUGACUCCUGAAGAUAUCCUUCUUUAUGCAACUAGGCUAAGAAACGCAUUGGGAAGAAAGGUGGUGAAAUUGAAGACAAGGCAUGUAACUAAACACCUAGUGUGCAAGGUACAUGGACAACUGAUGUGAAAUUUUGAGACACAGCAGUACCAAGUUCUUCACAAUUUUUUCUGUAUGUUUCUUUAUUGUUCUAUGUAGUCAUGAUGGCAACUUUGUUGAAACAUUCACUUUUUGGAGGUGAAUGAAAUUGUUGUGUAGUGAACAAAGGCUAAUGAUGUCGUAAUAGAUGAUUGGACCCAAAUAUUUAAUAA
This is a long non-coding RNA of Gossypium raimondii (Peruvian cotton), 787 nucleotides long. RefSeq lists it as uncharacterized. The transcript is spliced from 3 exons. The record is from RefSeq and is a predicted model, not a curated record. Lineage: Eukaryota; Viridiplantae; Streptophyta; Magnoliopsida; Malvales; Malvaceae.